CCUUUCAGUAGAAUGGAUGGAAAUUCUUGUAGCGCCCAGCUAUAGUUUGUGACUGCUCAUGUAGAGUGAUAGUGUGCAGAUAUAUGUUUAUCUGUGGCUUCAUGGUAUGGUCUUAUUGAAGCUCAAAUCGGUGUUGCUUUCCCAAUACCCGGCCCACAAAUCAGAAGUGAUGUUGACCAUCCUUACAGGUCCUGGAACUGGCCUGGCUCAGGUUCCCACCAGCGAGCUCAAGCUGACAUCUCUGUUUUCUCAUUUUCACCUCCUGCACACCCAGUUUAUGUUAACACAGAUUGGGCGGGAACCCUUGUGUGUCUGCAUCCAAGUCUGCAGUGCCUAUUUAUCACUUCGGUGGCAAAUGACAGCAACAUUAGCAUCUUCAUUAACUAAUAUUCACACAGUUUGGGACUUUGGGCUCUGAUUGCCCGAAAGACGAAUGCUUUUCUUAACUUCAGAUGUCCACAAACACGAGGUGAGGCCCAAACACAAGCUAUUCUGUUCUAACUAAACUUUACAGCAAGAGCAACAGACAUGCAUUGCUGCACUCCCACCAUAAGGGGAAUUUUUACUGAGCUAGAACAGCUUUGGUGAAAAUGAUAACUUAAAUAAUUCCUUAUAACAACCACAGAUGUGUAACCCUUUGGAUUAUCCUCCUAGUCUUUCCUCCUUAAUGCUUUCUUAUUUAUUUAUUUUCAUGUUGGCUUGUUACUUUUAUUACCUGACCACGCUGUGUGGCCUGUUGUAUAAAGCAGUUGAAAGACUCUAAUUUUAAAAUGAAUGGCUAGGAGAAUGGGUUCUGUGUUCCCUUACUUUUAAGUAAGGUCUGAUUAUUCAGACUGACUGCACCACCAACAUCCUUGUGAAUGGAGCUCUUUUGUAUAACUUUUAUGAUACCUCCUGCCAGGGAAGGUCAGGUUUUAGUGUAAUGCGAUACCCUAUGUUAAAAGGCCCAAAUUAACAAAUUCCUGAAAGCAAAGCAAGGAAUACAUUUUAAAAUGGUUUUUUUGGGCACGAAGAGGCGGUACAUAAGUCAGCAAAGGAUAGGCGUGUGUGUUCCAAACCUCACUGCAAAUUUACCACCAAUGUCUUCAGAAAUGCUGGGCAGUGAAGGCAAAACCUACUGCAGAUGAAGGCACAUCCCUGAACCAGGCUCCAGUGGGUGCGACUGUGCCUGAGGAGUUGUCUGGGGCUUUUUGUGGCAGCAGCCCAGGGAUCAGGUGA
This 1218-nucleotide long non-coding RNA is filed under the name Homo sapiens (human). Its description in RNAcentral is "HSALNT0253662". The record is from RNAcentral. Lineage: Eukaryota; Metazoa; Chordata; Mammalia; Primates; Hominidae.